CUACAAAUUCAGGCGUUCCCAUGACUACCCUUGGAUUUGAUAAUUUGUUAGAACAACUCAUGAAAUUUAGGAAAGUGUUAUAUUUAGGAGUAUAAUUUUAUUAUAAUAAAAAGAUACAAAUUGGAGUCAGUCAAAGAUAGUUGCAAUCAGUAGAGUGGCAACUGAGAGGGUUCCAAACAUGAAGCUUCUGUAUCCUCAGGAUGCACUGCCUCCCAGCAUUGCAGGGCGACAGUACACAGGAGGACUGCCAACCAGGGAAGUUCACCCACGCUUCAGUGUCCAGAGGUUUUAUUGAGGCUUCCUUCCGGGCAUGAUGGAUUGAAUAAUUGCCCCCAUGGCUGAACUCAGUGUCCAGGCCCCCACCCCUCUCUCAUGGUCAGGCUGAUAUCACGUGGUCUAAAGCCCCAACCACAAUCACAUGGUUGGUCUUUCUGGAAUGGCCAGACCCCACCCAGGCUCAUCUCAUUAGCAUAAAUGAGAGGUCCACUUUGAAACCAUACUGAACUCUUCUCACUGUGGAAACUGCAAGAGUUUAGAGGUUACCUCCAAGGAGCCCUGACAAAGGCUGGAUCUCUCUUUAGGUGAGGCCGUAUUUCUUACCAUGCACUGUGGUAUGGCAAUUAGACUGAAUGAGAGCAAGUCUGGAGGCAGGCAAAGCAAUUAGGUGGUUGCUGUAGACAUCCAAGGAAGAGAACAUGGUGGCCUAGACCAAGGAACGGCAGAGGGGGUGGGAAGAAAUAGAGGGAUUUCAGAUGCAGAAGGAUGGAAUAUCAGGACUUGGUGAUUGGGUGGAUAAGGGGCUUGAGGGAUGGGGAGGAGUCAAGGAUGAUGGGCAAGUGUCUGGCCUGGGUAAAUAGCUGGUUCAGGCCUGCUGUUUGCCAACAUCUCUGGAUUUUUAGUUUCUUGGUCAAUCAGUUUAACACGAUGUGUGGUACACAGUAAGCAUUCAGCAAAUAUUUGUUGAAUGAGCAAUGAAUGAACGGACCCAUCUUCCAGCAAAGGAGGAAGUGACUGGAUCCAGACUGCAAGCCAGGCUCAGUAAAUGUUUACUGUCCCCUUCUGAAACGGCCCCAAACGAGCUCACUCAUCUUCAGCAACUGGACAUUUUUACCGUCCGUGUGGGAUAUGUCCCAAGAUUGUGUAGACUAUGCUGACCGCGCCAGGAUACUACAAGCCCUGAUGCCCACUGAUUAUGACAUUCGUUUCCUCCACGAGGCCUGCUUUGACCUCUAGAACCCAGCAGAAACCGUCUUCCAAGCCCUCCACCUUAUCACCUGCAUGGAUCGCGUCCUGCUGUGCUGGGUUCACUACAAUAUGUGGGCACCUAGAUACAUCAUAGCGAAAAUGCAAGUUCCUAUAGCUCCAUAUCUAGAGUUCUUGGUGAAGUCUAACUUUAAUACUGGAAAACUUCAGGCGCUCUGGCCCUCUAGAUGCCCAGCCACCCCAGCCUUGUCAUCUGGAGUGACCAGACCCUCUCUGGGAGGUGUGUGGCUGGUGGUUACGAACUCAGCCUCAAACCAAACCAUGUGGGUUUAUUUCCUGCCUUGACCAGCUCUGAGUCCACAUCCCUGAGCCCAGACCCUGUGCUAAACUUGCCUUGACUCCGCCCCUUGCACUUCUGGGGACUCAAAUUUUGUUCCUGAGCUCUAUUUCCUUGCUGAAUCCCCUCUCUCAGAAAGCCUGCCUGAACCCCUUAUUUCUUGUUUAGAAAAUUUGUCUCCUAACCUAGGAGUUGGCAAACCAUGGCCUGUGAGCCAUAUCUGGCCCACCGCCUGUUCUUGUAAAUAAAGUUUUAUUGCGACACAGCCAUUCUCAUGCAUUUACACAUGGUCUGUGGCUGCUUUCCUGGCACAACAGCAGCUGAGUAGUUGUGACAGAGGAAAUAUGGCCCUCCAGUCUAAAACAUUCACUAUCUGGCCCUUGACUGAAAAAGUUUAGUGUUCCUUGUCUGUGUGGGUUGAAUUAUGUCCUCUGAAAAAGAUGUGUUGAAUCUCCAGUACCUCAGCAUGUGGCCUUGUUUGGAAAUAGCAUUGUUAUAGAAGUAAUCACAUUAAAAUGAGGUCAUGAGGGUGAGCCCAAAUCCGAUAUGACUACUGUCCUUAUAAAAAUGGGAAAUUUGGACACAGAGUGUAUUAGCUAUGUUUUCUUAUUUUCUGCAUUUUUGAUGCUCUGGCAUCUGGGGCUUUGGUGACUGGAGUGGGACUGCCCCUCCCAGGGCUAGCCAGUCCCUAGAGAUAGCAAAUGACUUGCACAGAACCACACCCUUCAUGCAUCCUCACCCAUCUGGAGCCCAUUCUCCAAACCACCUCCUCUGUCUGGCUCUUACGCUCCAGGAGGCAAUGGCAAUAUUCCUAAUCACCCAAGGGCAGCAUGGGACCACUAGGAGCACCCCCACAGCCCAGAGCCUGCUGACAUUAUUCAACCCAUCCAAUCCGAAACCUGCUCAGCUUGCGCACCUUGUUUUCCUCCUUCCUUCCCAUGAAAACCACAAUAAGGACUCCUGCCCACACUUUCUCCUCGCUCCUUCUGCCUCCUCACCAGCGCUGCUGCUUCCCUCUGUGGCCCUGCGUGGCAUGCUGUGCCCCCUCCUCGUGGGAACUAUGAGUAACAAACUAUCUUUUCAAAGACAAUCGUCUCCUGAUCUGUUGGGCUCACCAUACCUGAAUAAAACCAAAAUCACAGACACAUUUCAAAACACAGAGACAGAGACACUCAGAGGGAAAGUAACAUAAAGACACAGAGAAAGCGCCAUGUGAAGACGGAAGAGUGAAGUGAUGUAUCUGUAAGCCAAAGAACACUCAAGGCUACCAGAAGCUGGAAGAAAAGCGUGGAACAGUUCCUUCCCUAGCACCUUCAGAGGGAGCACGGCCCUGCCAACACCUUGAUUUUGGACUUCUGGCCUCUGGAAUGUGAGACAAUAAAUUUCUGUUGUUUGAAGCCACUAAGUUUGUAGUAUUUUGUUAUGGCAGCCUAGGAGGCCAAUACACCACCUAACCAAUUAUUUUGUUUUGUUUUCUUUAUUUCUCGUUGUUCUCCUAUUGACACUUUUGUAUGGUGUCUUACUGUCAUUUCAUGGUGACCCUCACACACAUUAUUGCAUUUGGGUCUUGUGAGGUAGGUAGGCCAAUGGGCAGCCCGUUUAACCCAAGACCGAGGCUCAGAGAUUUCGGGGCACUUGCACAAGUUCACCCCACAAGGCAGUAAAUGGGGAAAAAAACUAGUUUCUACUGAGGGCUCGUUAUGUGCUUUCCUCACAUUGUCUCAGGACACCUAUACAACCGACCUGAGGGUUAGUUGCUGAGCAAUUAUACUAAUAAUCAGACAACCAUCAAUGUGAAAAGGAUGCUUUCUUCUCUCCUCACUUCCCCCUGUCUCUACUUGGCAUCUCAAGGCAGAGUGUGAAGGAGGUCAGACAUCCACAGCACUGUACCGUCCCGAGUGGAACCAGCCUUCACUGACUGGACCACCUAGGGAAGUGGUUUCCUCAGAGGGCAAUACCGAACCUUCCAGUGUGUAGUAAAACAGGACAAGAGAACUCCAGAGACCCCUUCUGCUGCCCCCAUGGGCUGUGUGGGGGUCCGAGGAGGGGAGAGUGGGGAGAGGUCUGAGGCUAUUCCAGCGUGUAACGCUGGCGUGAAAGCUGGAGCUGGUUCUGGUCAAGGCUUGGUCUGGACGCCGUGCAUGCCCCCGACCUCUGACGCCAGGUGCCCCUUGAAUCUCCUGAGGUCCCUGCAGCUGUGUUCUCUGUUUCUUCCUUGUCCAGUUGUUACAGCUUCUUCCACA
Molecule: long non-coding RNA, 3783 nt
Organism: Equus caballus (horse)
Lineage: Eukaryota; Metazoa; Chordata; Mammalia; Perissodactyla; Equidae
Source: Ensembl